AGAAUCAACGCUGGCGGCGUGCCUAACACAUGCAAGUCGAACGAGAAAGUGGAGCAAUCCAUGAGUAAAGUGGCGACCGGGUGAGUAACACGUGACUAACCUACCUUUUAGUGGGGGAUAACCUCGGGAAACCGAGGCUAAUACCGCAUAACAUCGCAAGAUCAAAGCAGCAAUACGCUGGAAGAGGGGGUCGCGGCUGAUUAGCUAGUUGGCGGGGUAACGCCCACCAAGGCGAAGAUCGGUAUCCGGCCUGAGAGGGCGCACGGACACACUGGAACUGAAACACGGUCCAGACUCCUACGGGAGGCAGCAGUGGGAAUUUUGCGCAAUGGGGGAAACCCUGACGCAGCAACGCCGCGUGGAGGAUGAAGCCCUUGGGGCGUAAACUCCUUUCGACCAAGACGAUAAUGACGGUACUGGUGGAAGAAGCACCGGCUAACUCUGCGCCAGCAGCCGC
RNAcentral lists this ribosomal RNA (457 nucleotides) under uncultured bacterium. RNAcentral describes it as "SSU rRNA". It matches the Rfam family "Bacterial small subunit ribosomal RNA", at positions 26 to 518 of the family's 1533-position model. The record is from RNAcentral.